This 464-nucleotide ribosomal RNA is filed under the name Vreelandella stevensii. RNAcentral's name for it is "partial 16S ribosomal RNA". It matches the Rfam family "Bacterial small subunit ribosomal RNA", at positions 338 to 795 of the family's 1533-position model. Lineage: Bacteria; Pseudomonadati; Pseudomonadota; Gammaproteobacteria; Oceanospirillales; Halomonadaceae. The record is from RNAcentral.
CCUACGGGGGGCAGCAGUGGGGAAUAUUGGACAAUGGGCGAAAGCCUGAUCCAGCCAUGCCGCGUGUGUGAAGAAGGCCUUCGGGUUGUAAAGCACUUUCAGUGGGGAAGAAAGCCUUGGGGCUAAUACCCUCGAGGAAGGACAUCACCCACAGAAGAAGCACCGGCUAACUCCGUGCCAGCAGCCGCGGUAAUACGGAGGGUGCGAGCGUUAAUGGAAUUACUGGGCGUAAAGCGCGCGUAGGCGGUCUGAUAAGCCGGUUGUGAAAGCCCCGGGCUCAACCUGGGAACGGCAUCCGGAACUGUCAGGCUAGAGUGCGGGAGAGGAAGGUAGAAUUCCCGGUGUAGCGGUGAAAUGCGUAGAGAUCGGGAGGAAUACCAGUGGCGAAGGCGGCCUUCUGGACUGACACUGACGCUGAGGUGCGAAAGCGUGGGUAGCAAACAGGAUUAGAUACCCCUGUAGUC